RNAcentral lists this long non-coding RNA (477 nucleotides) under Linum usitatissimum (flax). RNAcentral describes it as "long non-coding RNA (LUSI_LNC005752)". The record is from RNAcentral. Lineage: Eukaryota; Viridiplantae; Streptophyta; Magnoliopsida; Malpighiales; Linaceae.
GGAUCAUCAACAUGGGGAAAUAACGUCCUUGCUACUUCACAUAAUGAUUUUCAUGCUGGCAUAGUAUCUCCUUCUGUCGUUGCUGAAAUAAGUUCCUAGUAUCUCCUUCUGUCACUGCUGAAAUCAAUGCUUCAUUCGAGGCAUCCUUUCCAAACCCUCAAGAACGAAAAGCUGAUAAGGAACGCUGGGGAGCUGAAGUGUUUAGGGUGAAAACUCCUAAGAAAAGCUCAGAAGAUGCAUCGGGUUCUGGAUCAGGAAAAAGAAAGAGAAUUUCACUUACGAGGUUCAAGUCAUUCGAAAGGAGGAACAAGCCAGUUGUUCAAACCUCGAGCUGCUGGUUCAAUAUCUGAUGAAGAACUGGCUGCGAAAAUCACUGACCUGGGAAAAUAUAUCUUUUUGCAUCCUUAGCUCAUCACUUGGGAAAACGGCUUCAAUGCUCCUCAUGAGACUCCAUCAUUGGAGAAAGGAAUGGAAAAG